UUUGGUAAAUGAACAUUUCUCUCUAAAACCGGCUAAGUUUGGGUUGAUGCAAAAAACUGGGUUUUAGCCGGGUGUCCAAGACACCCGGUGUCCAAAUGUCUUUUCCGUUUUUACAAUUAGUAUUAUUGCACUACAAUUACAUCCUUAAAUUUUUUCUUCUUCUUCUUCGCCGACAUCCUUACAUCACUAAUAUCUUAUAAUCUCGUCAUACUUUUCAAUUUCAACCGUCUCGUUUAAAAUAUAUUACAUUCCAUUUUAAGACAUUAACACAUAAGUGACAUAACAAACCCUUUUAAAUUUUUAAUAUAUCUCAUAAUUAUAGUAUGGUAUACCACAAAAAUUACUCUUUACAUUUUCUCUACUUAAUCUGAGAAAAAUAUAUUUUUUAAAAAAAAACUAUUUUUUUUUCAAUUUUAAAUAUAAAUUGAUUUUAUUAUAAAUAAAUCAAUUUAUAUUUAAAAUAUCUACAUAUUAAUACCGGUAUCCAAAAUAAAUGAGAUAUUUUAAAUUGAACAGGGAAGUGCAUUAUAAUUUUUUAAAUAAAACCUAGCUCCCAAUAACUUGACACAAAAGACAAGGGAUAUAAAUUGCUUACCAUUCUCGAAAAGCACUCUAGGUAAAAGAUUAGAUUCUCAAGAUAAAUACAAAUAAGAGUAGUAAGUUAUAACGUUAUCACUAUUUCUCUAUUAAUUUCCCUCUUCUACUAUUCAAUCUUGCAAUUUUUUCCUGUAAUUUAAUCACCAGUAAAUUAGAACUUUUUGCACCAAAACAAACGUAAUGAAACACAAAUCAAAACAUACAAAAGCCCAUGGCAAAUCUGGUUUCAAAAUGAAAUAAUCAUUUAAUUUACAUAAAAAAGCGUAUAUAAAUAUACAUACAAGAAUGGAAAAUUAGAUGACUAAGCAGAAAAGAAGCCAUUGGUAGCAGCAACAGUGAUCUGUGAUCUGGCCUCGAAAUUCCUCACCAUUUUGUCAUCCUUUACUAACAGCAUCAUCUCUUUCAUCCAAGAAGCAGAUGACCCUUUGAAUCUCUGCCCCAAAACUCCCACACACGAAAACAUAUCAAUCUCCCCACCAUUCAUCUUUCUUGAAUUCUUCACCCUCCUCUCAUACUCCUCUGCAACCAAGAUUGCAAUAUCUGCCAUUUUCAACAAUCCCUCUCUCUCUCUACAAUAAUUUCUUGCACUUGUUUGAGCUUUGCCACUGUUAGUAAUGAUGGAUAAUGGUGGGGUUUUUUGUGUGUAUUUAAAGGGGUGGGAGCAAUAUUGGAUAAGGUUGCCAGGUGAUGACUGAUCCUAGCUACAAUGUUUUAGCAUUAUUUUAUGCAAGGAUUUAGGUAAUUCAGGAUCAUCUUUCUUUUCCCUUUUUAAGUUUUUAAAGUUUAUAUAUUUAUUUAUUUAUUGCAGUUUACUGUGAGCCGAUUUCUGUGGUCGAAGGGCAUGAAUAGAAUACUGCUUUGCCGACCAAAAUGGCAGUUUUCUUGAGAUUAAACUAAUAUGUGCUAAAUUAGUUAAAAUGCUUCACUUUUUGGAGAAUUAGUGGAAUCUAAUUUGUUAGAUGUGAAGAUCAUUAAGUAAAUUGUUUACUGAAUAUACAUCUAAAUAAAUGUAUAUGGAUUAUAUAAACGGCUGAUAUUGCAAUAUGGAG
RNAcentral lists this long non-coding RNA (1646 nucleotides) under Salvia miltiorrhiza (redroot sage). RNAcentral describes it as "long non-coding RNA (SMIL_LNC008858)". The record is from RNAcentral. Lineage: Eukaryota; Viridiplantae; Streptophyta; Magnoliopsida; Lamiales; Lamiaceae.